RNAcentral lists this non-coding RNA (30 nucleotides) under Rattus norvegicus (Norway rat). Lineage: Eukaryota; Metazoa; Chordata; Mammalia; Rodentia; Muridae. The record is from RNAcentral.
UCCNGGAAAUAUUGGUUCCUACUUCACUGG